CUUAUGUUGAAAAAUCAUUAGCUCUGACAAAGCUGGCACCAAUUUCCUGUGUGGUAACAGUCAGCUGGCAGCAGCGCUGAGCAGCGGUUGGCCACUUUCUGUGGGGUCUACACCUUCAGUUCACCACCAGCCCAGUCCUCUCGUCUGUGUUAUCUCCUCCCUGCGGUGCAUGCCUUUGGGUCCCCACACCUGUAGGGUCCCUCUGACUCUAGAAUUGUAGUUAUUUUGGCUCACUGAUGUGUGGUAAGGCCUUCUGGAACUCAGCAAUAAAGUUAAGGAUUACCUUGCCAAUAAGCUUCUACGCUUAAAUGAAAUAACCCUGGGAGCCUCUUCUCUGUCAUCCAACAGAGCAGAUGCCCUUAGAGCUCUCAGCAAUACCUCUGGGGCCAGAACCUGCUGGCUCUAGAAAGUCUCGCUUGUCCAUCACUGACCACUGGGCAUCUCAGUAGCGUGUCUCUCCCCAAAAGAUGCCUGGGCCUAGUGUCCAAGAACUGUUCUCCUUGAGUUAAUGGAAGUGCUGGACUAUGCUACUGGCUGUUGCCCAGAAGGACUCGUGGUGCCUGCGUGCGAAGGGCCAUGGCUCUUCUGUGGACCCACAACUUCACAGAAAUUUCAUGAGAGCCGACUUCUCUCAUCUGCCUUAGACAGAUCCUGUAAGUUUUGUAGGUUUGUGUGUGAUGAUGGAUAAGAGACUUGGUGAAAGAGCUUUUGACAUUCCUGCCAUCACCUCCAGAAAGUGCGAGUAGAGCACUAGAGCGUUUUUCAGAAGACUCGAAGAAAAUACCCUUUCAUUCAGGAUCAAGCUUGCUAUUUAAGUGCCUUCAACCAACUCAACAGGAAAACAAGAGACAGCCAAAAAAAAUCACACUUCACUUUCUAGAAUGUUGAUAGCUUUACCAUAAUCCACUCAUGUGUUCACUGAUCUAAAGACAAAGAACUCGCUCGUACCAGAGGUUGGGUUUACUUACCCUGUAUGUCUGGACAUGAAUGGCCUCCCCUCUCUAAGUGUCCAGCUGUUUGGCACUGAGGAGACAGGCUGUUCGGAUCACUGAUGCAAUUGUGGAACCCAGUGGCCUGAAGCCGGUCAGUGAAGAGGCUGCUCGGAUCCCCGGGCCUCACAGGCCACAGGAAGCCAGCGAGGGCGGGGCUCCGAGCCUGUUUAAGGCCAGGUCCCUGCGGAGCGCAGCCUCCUACAUACCAGGUAGCACCAGGUAGUUUUCCACCACAAAUUUGCUCCAGAAUCACCUAGAAGCUCUGGAAAUGCAAAUCCACUGAGUCAGAGCGCUGGAAUUGAGCCGCAGACUGCAAUUUUAACAAGCACUGCAGGUGACUUUGAGCUUAAGAACCACCAGUCUCACACGUGGACUUUAAAAACUCACGUGGAGAAUAUUUCUCAUUCCUCAGUUUAAAACAUUCUUUAAUAGUAUCUCCGCUUAGAGCGGAGAAGUUCCAGGAAACAGAAUGCCAAGCCCUGGAGGGGACAGGAUAUGGGCUUCAGAAUCAUCACGUGCUGUCUCCUACCACGCUCAGGUCAGGUGAGAGGGGCCUCGUUACCUGGGACCUGCUGUGAGGCAGCGGCUGUGACUAGCUCUCCAGGUCCUUCCAGUUAAGCUUGAACUGUGUUUUUUAGAGGCUUGAGCUGAACGCCCCUUGGUUCCAGGUGGAACACAUUUUCACUUAAAACCAUCAAAUGUUGGCUCUGAAGGGAAUUGAGAGAUCUAGUCCAGAGCCCCCAUUUUUAUAAAGGAGGAGUUACUGGUUAGAAGCAGACAAUAAUGCUACGAUGAUAAAUUCCUGAAUUUAUAUUCAAGGAGCUUCAUGGAGAGAGGGAGUUAGGAGGAGAGCAAUCAAGUAGGAACUAAAUCAUCCUCUCCAAAUUCAGAGAGGCCUCCAGUUUCCUGACAAUCCUUUCAAGGGGAGUGCAUGCCAGGCGGGGACUCUCAAAUUCCCCAGCGUCGCCAGGCUUCCCUGUCGGCUCAGAGAGGACAGCUUGCCCUGCCGGCCCUGGCUGAGCAGGCUCUUCCACCCAGAAACACACCAACCCCUAACGUGGCCUGGUCCGUGGUCUGGUUUGUUCCCUACAUGGUGUCAGUUCUGUACCAAGUUUUGCUCUGGGCCCUGGUAUAUAUCAUUAACAGGAGAGGUGGGAGCUACUCUCACGGAGCUCACUGUCUCAUUACAAACUCAUUAAAUUCUGUUUCUGUGUUUUAACUGUCCAGUUUCUGCUUUGAGAGAAAAUUUUGGUGCUUUGUUUUUGAUAAAGAAUAAUUCACUCACUCCUUCAUUUUCUCUUUCCACAAUAUUCAUAGGAAACCGCACCAUCAGGCAUGUAAUACACCCUGUGGGCCAAGCAUUACUUUAGGUGCUGGGGAGUCAGCAGUAAAUGAGGGAAACGUGGCCCCCUCUCAAGGAGUUUUCAAUCAAGUGUAGAGAGGCAGGAAAUCGAUAAAGAACAAGGCAAUUACUGUGCUCCUCCGGUUGCGUUGAGGAGAGUGGAUGUGGUGAGGGGAGAACAAAGCAGGAACACCCACUACAAGGCUAUUGCAGUCUUUCAGGCAAAGAAAAAGGAAGAUCAGAGGAGGUAUAGGAUUUGCCCAAUGUUGCACGUAAUCAGUAAAUGUAAUGACGAGGGUGUGAACACCCAAGUGUAAUAUAUCUUCUGCUGGUAUUGAUAUUCCCACCAUGGCCAAUUUCAAGAUACCAGUGUGAUUUGGGGAAGAUGUGAACAAACUCAGCUCAGGCACACCACUGCAUGGAACCAUCAUCUACACUCUACCACUAACGUUUCAGUAUACUUGUUUAUCACACUUGUAUCCAGCCCUGUGUCAAUAAAUCUUAUUUUUUGUAAAUUUCAGAUAUAAAUAUAAUUCCCUCUAAAUACUGAAGCAUUCAUAUUAACCAGAGUUUAAUAUUUGUUUUCAGUAUUUCUUUUGAUGUAAAAUAAACUUUUAGUCUUAACUGUAUGUUCACUGAGUUUUGACAAAUUCAUACACCUGUGUAAU
This is a long non-coding RNA of Equus caballus (horse), 3002 nucleotides long. NCBI's taxonomy places the organism in Eukaryota, Metazoa, Chordata, Mammalia, Perissodactyla, Equidae. The record is from Ensembl.